UUUCAAAGCUCUAAGGGCGACCUUAGCGCGUUGUAGACUAAAGGAGUGUUAUCCAUUUUGUACAGCUCAGGUAUAGAUCCGUUGGAACACGGUAUCAUAGAGGGUGAGAAUCCCGUCCAUGACUUGAGAGAAUUUUCUGUGCAUUGUUGCGUUACACUUCCAAAGAGUCGGGUUGUUUGGGAAUGCAGCCCAAAAUGGGUGGUAAACUUCAUCUAAGGCUAAAUAUUGGCAUGAGACCGAUAGCGAACAAGUACCGUGAGGGAAAGAUGAAAAGCACUUUGAAAAGGGAGUCAAAAAGUACGUGAAACCGUUAGGAGGGAAACGAAUAAGGCUAGCAUUUGUGCGUGACAGCAAUCAGCCGGACGCUUGCGCGGACGUGGAAGUGGUGUUUUUUUAAACCUUAGAGAGCUUCUUGAGCGUGCCGAAAGGUGCGAUGCCAAGUGGCCUCACAUUUUUGCGAUUCAUUUUUUAUCCGUGUAGGUGGGAAAGCCGGUGCACUUGCGGUCGGCAUCAGGCCAACAUCAGUUCGGUAUUCUUGCCAAACGAAAGAGACAGCAACCUUAGGGAGAAGGUGGCUGUUGCAUUACUAAUUUUUUUAGUAUGUGUGGCAGCGUUAUAGCUCCCUUUGGAAAAUUUAUUUCUAACGUCGCGGCCCGGACUGAGGAAACGCAGCAGCACGCUUUCUUUAAUUUUUUUGAACAUCUUGUUUGGAGAAAAUAGAGGAAAAUUUUUUGCAGAGCUUCGGCUGGGUUUGCCAGGUGACCAUGACUAUUUCACAAAGAGGUAGUGGUGGAAGCCUAUUUGUUGCAGCCCAUUUUACAAGCCACUGGAGUCUACGCAUUAUACGUGCUUGUGAUGUUGGCGAAAUGGCCUUAUCUGACCCGUCUGAAACACGGACCAAGGAGUCUAACAUAUGCGCGAGUCUUUGGGUGACAAGCCCGCAGGCACAAUGAAAGUGAAGGCGUUGCCAUUUUUUUGUCGCACGCUGAGGUGAGACGCCUAUUUCCUCGGGAGUAGGCCGCAUCAUCGACCGAUCCGGAAGGGUUGGGAUUAGGUUCGCCUAGUCCCAAAUAUCUGAAAGAUUUGAGUAAGAGCGCAUCUGUUGGGACCCGAAAGAUGGUGAACUAUGCCUGAACAGGGUGAAGUCUGAGGAAACUCAGAUGGAGGCUCGCAGCGAUUCUGACGUGCAAAUCGAUCGUCUGAUUUGGGUAUAGGGGCGAAAGACUAAUCGAACCAUCUAGUAGCUGGUUCCCUCCGAAAUUUCCCUCAGGAUAGCUGGAACUCGAAACGCAGUUUUAUCAGGUAAAGCGAAUGAUUAGAGGCCUUGGGGUCGAAAUGACCUCAACCUAUUCUCAAACUUUAAAUAGGUAAGAAGUGCGGCUUGCUUAAGUGAAGUCGUGCCAACCGAAUGCAAGAGUUUCAAGUGGGCCAUUUUUGGUAAGCAGAACUGGCGAUGCGGGAUGAACUGAACGCAAAGUUAAAGUGCCAAAGUUCACGCUCACCUAGAACCCAUAAAAGGUGUUGGCUGAUAAAGACAGCAGGACGGUGGCCAUGGAAGUCGGAACCCGCUAAGGAGUGUGUAACAACUCACCUGCCGAAUCAGCCAGCCCUGAAAAUGGAUGGCGCUCAAGCGUGACACUCAUACUUUGCCGUUGCUGCAAACAAGGCAGAUGCAUACUCUUUUUUUUGCCGCAACGAGUAGGAGGGCGCGGAGGUAAGUGAAGCAGCCUAGGGCGUGAGCCCGGGUGAAACUGCC
RNAcentral lists this ribosomal RNA (1756 nucleotides) under Astreptonema sp. WA-3-C3. Its description in RNAcentral is "eukaryotic LSU rRNA". It matches the Rfam family "Eukaryotic large subunit ribosomal RNA", at positions 114 to 1437 of the family's 3401-position model. Lineage: Eukaryota; Ichthyosporea; Ichthyophonida; Eccrinaceae. The record is from RNAcentral.